RNAcentral lists this transfer RNA (77 nucleotides) under methanotrophic bacterial endosymbiont of Bathymodiolus sp. RNAcentral describes it as "tRNA-Val". It matches the Rfam family "tRNA". Rfam says of the family: Transfer RNA (tRNA) molecules are approximately 80 nucleotides in length. Their secondary structure includes four short double-helical elements and three loops (D, anti-codon, and T loops). Further hydrogen bonds mediate the characteristic L-shaped molecular structure. tRNAs have two regions of fundamental functional importance: the anti-codon, which is responsible for specific mRNA codon recognition, and the 3' end, to which the tRNAs corresponding amino acid is attached (by aminoacyl-tRNA synthetases). tRNAs cope with the degeneracy of the genetic code in two manners: having more than one tRNA (with a specific anti-codon) for a particular amino acid; and 'wobble' base-pairing, i.e. permitting non-standard base-pairing at the 3rd anti-codon position. Lineage: Bacteria; Pseudomonadati; Pseudomonadota; Gammaproteobacteria. The record is from RNAcentral.
UAGGCGCGUAGCUCAGUUGGUUAGAGCACUACCUUGACAUGGUAGGGGUCGGUGAUUCGAAUUCACUCGUGCCUACC